UACGUAGGUCCCGAGCGUUGUCCGGAUUUAUUGGGCGUAAAGCGAGCGCAGGUGGUUUAAUAAGUCUGAUGUAAAAGGCAGUGGCUCAACCAUUGUGUGCAUUGGAAACUGUUAGACUUGAGUGCAGUAGAGGAGAGUGGAAUUCCAUGUGUAGCGGUGAAAUGCGUAGAUAUAUGGAGGAACACCGGUGGCGAAAGCGGCUCUCUGGAUUGUAACUGACACUGAGGCUCGAAAGCGUGGGUAGCAAACAGG
Molecule: ribosomal RNA, 252 nt
Filed under: uncultured microorganism
Description: partial 16S ribosomal RNA
Rfam family: Bacterial small subunit ribosomal RNA
Source: RNAcentral